This 3183-nucleotide long non-coding RNA is filed under the name Mytilus galloprovincialis (Mediterranean mussel). Lineage: Eukaryota; Metazoa; Mollusca; Bivalvia; Mytilida; Mytilidae. The record is from RNAcentral.
UUUUUCUGAUUAAUCAUCGACAUAACGCGACAGAACGUACCUUAAAGGUAAGCAAUACAUCAUACAUAUCUUGUAUAAACAGGAAAGAUUAUUAUGAAUAAACACAAUGAUUAGUAAACGACGAAAAACUUACCUCAAGAAGACAAAACCUAAAUACUUUGUCAAAAUAUGGUCUUCAAUGAAGCACAAUUUAUUGUACCAACUACUUAUGUCUAAAUAGGACUCUUUCUAUUUUAGGUAUAACAUCAUAAAUUCAAUUUGAAAAUGAUGGUUAUUGAGAGAAUGAUAAACAAGAAGUUCUUGUUUCUUUGCAGUGAUUCAAUUGCAUUUGCCCUUUCCUCGCAUGCCUUCACCAACUCCGCCAUAAUUUAAAUGGUUCAAUUAAUUAAAUCUUUACGAGUUUAAAAAGAAGAACAAAAAACUCGCAUUCUAUUUUGAAAUAAACGAAGACAAAAUAAAGAGAAAUAAUCCACAACUUCCACAGAUAAAUCUAAGGACAAAUUUAUCGAAUUCGACUAAAAAGAAGGGUUGACCUUUGGUGCUUCGAAAAAGGAGCUGACCCUUCCUUUUUUGUAGCAUUUUUCAGGUUGCUAGUUGUAACAAUCAAUCUGGUAUUCAGUUUGAAUUGGCUUUCAGUAAGUGCAUUAAGUGUACACUAAGUUUGUCUUCUGUAUUUAUGUCACCAAACACCAAUCACGUUAGAAAUUAAUUAUGAUCUAUUACAUACGCGCAUGACACAGGUCGUUAUUUAUCAUUCUUCUCUCUGUUUUCUUUGACGUGUAUAUUUUACAUACUACAUAUGUACGUCUUAUAACGUUACUGUGUUUAAAUCUUUUAGAAGCAUUAUGAAACUUCAUUUUAGUAUUGAGUUCCGAUUCGCCUUCUUAGAGGACCAUUACAUUGUCUGCUGUGAAAACAAAUUAUGAAAAGGGGAUACGUAUACUUUACUUUUCAAACCAUAUAUUUAGUGUAUAGUUCGGUUAAUUGUACAACAUUAGGCCAGUAUUAAUCAUUUUUUUCUAAAUGUACUUGAUUGCGCAUGUGAGUAACAUAACUUUUUGGGGGAUCAAUUAUAUGAAGUGAAAAAAACAAAAAGGAAAUGAUAAGACCCUUUUUGGAGUCAAUAAUAUUAAACAGAUAAUGUUUAUCUUUCUUUUUUUUGUAGAUAACAGAUAUCAAAAGUCGAGCAUUGAUAGCUACGGUGACAUUACCACUUACAAAAGAUGGAAAAGUUAUGUAUACUAUAACAUGUAAGUAUAUUUAAACUUUUCCAAUACAAAUCAAAAUAUGAGGUAAAUCAUCAGACAAUUAUCAUGGCGUCACAACAAACAAAACUUAUAAAAUUGCAGUACGACAAAUAAGGCAUUGUUGUACAAUAACAUAAAUAAUACGACAUUAUUUAAAAAAAAGAAAUCUUAUACUUACUCAUAACAAAACACAGUAUCGCAUAAAUCAUUGAUUUUCCCCAUAUUAAAACACUGUUACCGAAUUGAAGUUUUUUAUUGUUUUUAUAUAGCAGUGUUUAAGAUGUUAAACACCAGUGGUCCUACCCGAACUUACAUACAGGCUGUAAUUUAGCAGUUGUUAAAAUGUACUAGAUAAACAAAAUGGGUCUUUCUUGGAUAGUUUUUAACACUUAAGAAAAUCGAUCCAGACAAUCGUGACUACCAAAUGUUAAAUUAGAACAUAAAAAGUGCUGACGAAUGAACAAACAUUCAGAAUUAUUGAUAUCGGGUACUAUGCAUUAGUCUUAUGUGACCUUUUAAUUUUUGUGCAACAGUGAACUAUAAAAAUAAGAAGAUAUGCCUAAUAUUGCUUAUGAAACAACUCUCUACCAGGGACCAAAUGACAAACUACAAGUAACAAGAUAGACCAUUUGCAUAAUGUAUAUAAUGAAUGCUAUGCAUAUACAUCUGAUUCACAAACAACACACACUCACUCUCAAAUUAUAUAAUGCACCUUUAACAGCAAAAGUUGUCAUUGAAAAGUGUUUUUUUGUUUUAAUUUUAGAUGCAUUUCUAAAACUGUGACACCAUUUAUUACGUCAUUGUAAACUGGUAAUUUCAAUUUUGUGAAAAUUAGUCUUGUGUCUAUAAAGACAUCCUUACCAAAACCAACCAAACUAGAAACAGUGACAAAAGGGUAAAUAAAAAAGAAAAUAAAGCGACUGUAAAUAGACUAUUUCCAUGACUGAUCAAAUAUGCAAAAAAAAAGUAACUAUGCUUCACUCCUCAAAAAAAAAGUCCAGCAUCCAGUAUCCAGGUUCACGGUUAUGAAUCAGUAUAUCAUAUAUCAUUUUGCAAUCAAUUGAAGUUUAAACCAACAAAUUAAGUCACUGAUUACAACACAUUCAGAACGGACAAAAUUUUAGCAUACUCUCACAACCUUAUGUUUUUUUUAUGUGCGACUUGGUGAACAAAGCUGUAGCAGUAAUAUCACAUCCGCAUAUUUUAUAUUUUGAUAUAAAGUAAGUUAGACGAUGGUAUUUCUAUUAUAAUGUGCCAGAUCAGGGUUAUACAUAUUUUCCCUAGCUAUUAUAUACAAGAGGGACGAAAGAUACCAAAGGGACAGUCAAACUCAUAAAUCUAAAAUAAACUGACAACGCCAUGGCUAAAAAUGAAGAAGAAAAACAGACAAACAAUGGUACAAAUGACUCAUAAAAUGGUCUGCUGAAUCUUGAAAUGCGUAAAGUUUUUUUUGUAAUAAAUCUUAGUAUCGUUUAAAUAUUGUCGUUGUGAAUGUUCUUGCAAUAUUGGCUAAUGGACCUUAGUCAUCUGUUUCAAUCAGUGUUUGAUUUCCAACCUUUUAAAGGUUAAACUAAUAUAGACUAUGCACAGUAAUUUUGAAGACUGUAUCAAAAUGAAAAACGAAAAACGGAAACGCUUCUGUUUUUCGUUUUAAGUUUAUGAAAAAAAAUAUGUUUUCUUGUUUUUCGGUUUUUGUUUUUUCAAUAUAAGAUUGAAGAAUAUGUGCUGUCAUGACAUAUCAUGUCAACAUAAAAAAGAAAUUGUGUAAGCUUUACGUUGAAAAGUUAACAAUUUACAUUAUUCAAUUUGUUUGUACAUAAUGAUCUGUCUUGAUAACAAAUUCAUAACAAUGUUGACAUUUUUUUUAGACGUUAAGAAGAUUCCAGUGGUGAACAAGCUUCAAAUAGUAUAUGCAGUUCUAUCAUACCCUCACCAA